Molecule: long non-coding RNA, 1578 nt
Organism: Apteryx haastii (Great spotted kiwi)
Lineage: Eukaryota; Metazoa; Chordata; Aves; Apterygiformes; Apterygidae
Source: Ensembl
CAGCCAACUAAAAGCCCCUGUUUCGGGCCCCUAAAGGCAGGCCUGUUCCCACGCUCCGCAGAGUUCGCACUCAUCAGAGUUCUUGCACUCACCAGAGUUUGUGUUCGCCAGAGUUCUCACGCUCCCCAGAGUUCCCGCGCUCCCAGAUUUCCCAUGCUUCCCAGAAUUCUUGCGCUCCCCAGAGUUCCCGCGCUUCCCAGAGUUCCUGCGCUCGCCACAGUUCCUGCGCUCACCAGAGUUCUUGCGCUCCCCAGAGUUCGCGCUCCCCAGAGUUCGCACUCACCAGAGUUCUCGCGCUCGCCAGAGUUUGCACUUGCCAGAGUUCUUGCUCUCACCAGAGUUCGCGCUCUCCAGAGUUUUCACGCUCCCCAGAGUUCCCGCGGUCCCCAGAGUUCUYGCGCUCGCUGGAGUUCACGCUUGCCAGAAUUUCCGCGCUCGCCAGAGUUCUCGUGCUCCCCAGAGUUCGCACUCACCAGAGUUCUCGCUCACCAGAGUUCCCACGCUCGCCACAGUUCCAGCGCUCCCCAGAUUUCCCGUGCUCCCCAGAGUUCCCGCACUCGCCAGAAUUUGCGCUCACAAGAAUUUUCACGCUCGCCAGAGUUCCYGCCCUCCCGAGAGAUCUCGGGCUCGCCAGAGUUCACACUCACCAGGGUUAACGCUCAGCAGAGUUCUCGCGCUCACCUCAGUUCUCGCGCUUGCUAGAGUUGGUCCUCGCCAGGGUUCACGCGCUUGCCAGAGUUCACGCUCACCUGAGUUCCUGUGCUCCCCAGAGUUCCCACGCUCAUCAGAGUUUGCGCUCGCCAGAGUUCUCGCACUCCCCAGAGUUCCUGCGCUCGCCAGAGUUCUCGCACUCCCCAGAGUUCCUGCGCUCCCCAGAGUUCCCGCGCUCCCCAGAGUUUGCACUCACCAGAGUUCCCGCGCUUGCCAGAGUUCUCGUGCUCCCCAGAGUACGCGCUCCUCACAGUUCCCGCGCUCGCCACAAUUCCUGCACUCCCCAGAGUUUGUGCGCUCGCCACAGUUCGGGCUCCCCAGAGUUCCCGCGCUUGCCAGAAUUUGCGCUCACAAGAGUUUUCACGCUCGCCAGAGUUCCCAGCGCUCCCCAGAGUUCCCACGCUCGCCACAGUUCCUGCGUUCACCAGAGUUCGCACUUACCAGAGUCCUUGCGCUCGCCAGAGUUCUCAUGCUCGCCAGAGUUCUCAUGCUCGCCAGAGUUUGCAUUCGCCAGAGUUUGCAUUCGCCAGAGUUCGCGGAAUCUCAAGAGUUCACGCUCGCCAGAGCUCCCGCGCUCCCCAAUGUUCGCGCUUGCCAGAAUUCUUGCGCUCUCCAGAGUUCUCACGCUCCCCACAGUUCGCACUCACAGGAGUUCCCGCGCUCCCCAGAUUUCUCGCGCUCCCCAGAGUUCGCACUCACCAAAGUUCACGCUCCCCAGAGUUCUCAUGCUCACCAGAGUUUGCAGUCACCAGGGUUCUCAUGCUUGCCAGAGUUCACAUUCGCCAGAGUUCUCGCGCUUGCCAGAAUACCUGCGCUCCCCAGAGUUCCCGCCCUCCCCAGAGUUCGCACUCACCAGAGUUCCCGCGU